Molecule: long non-coding RNA, 613 nt
Organism: Tribolium madens (black flour beetle)
Lineage: Eukaryota; Metazoa; Arthropoda; Insecta; Coleoptera; Tenebrionidae
Exons: 2
Source: RefSeq, a predicted model, not a curated record
UUGUAAUAAAUCAGCUCGUAAAGUCGCCGAUUUUUGUUUCUUUUUGAUGGUGAAAUGUUUAGUAGGCUCUGGUUUAUGACCAACCUGACAAAAAUAAAAUUAUAACAGUGACAAGUGACGUAUGUCACUUACAACAGAGACAAGGGCUGAUUUAUUUAAAUAGUGGCACUCCAUUGGUAGCAUAACAUUCUCAGCUUGUUUGCGAACUAGUUUCCGAAGAUCUGUAACUAAAUCUGUGAAGAUUGGUCUCACUUCGUCCAAAUCUGAAAUUUCUGUGUUCAAAGACCCAGUCGAAGGAUACGUCUUUAAAGCCUCAGCUAACAUCGCGACCCACAAUUCCGAAUCUGCGACGGCCACAUCGAGGAUUUGCUCCAACUCUAACUUCCACUAAAAAAACAGCAGAACUCCCACUAGCCCCAAUCCUACACCUGCUGCGAGAGACCGCGGCGAUGCCCCAUCGGCCAUUAUACUCUGAAGCGGAUGAUGAGCGAUGCCUCCCACAGCCCCCAAAAGACUGAUACCAAGCCCGGUCAAACCCUAAACAAAAAUUGUAAUACUUUUGUUGUAUUCAAAAAUUCUUACAGAAAUUAUAAAUAAAUGAUUUUUAUGCCUU